This 900-nucleotide ribosomal RNA is filed under the name uncultured archaeon. Its description in RNAcentral is "bacterial SSU rRNA". It matches the Rfam family "Archaeal small subunit ribosomal RNA", at positions 1 to 909 of the family's 1478-position model. The record is from RNAcentral.
UUCCGGUUGAUCCCGCCGGAGGUCACUGCUAUCGGGGUUCGAUUAAGCCAUGCGAGUCGAGAGGGUUCAGACCCUCGGCGGACUGCUCAGUAACACGUGGAUAAUCUGCCCUAUGGUGGAGGAUAACCCCGGGAAACUGGGGAUAAUACUCCAUAAGUCAGGAGUACUGGAAUGUCUCCUAACUGAAAGUUUCGGCGCCAUAGGAUGAAUCUGCGGCCGAUUAGGUAGUUGUUGGGGUAACGGCCCAACAAGCCCGUAAUCGGUACGGGUUGUGGGAGCAAGAGCCCGGAGAUGGAAUCUGAGACACGAUUCCAGGCCCUACGGGGCGCAGCAGGCGCGAAAACUUUACAAUGCAGGAAACUGUGAUAAGGGAACCCCGAGUGCCCGUACACGCGGGCUGUCCCGGUGUUUAAAACACAUCGGAAGAAAGGGCCGGGCAAGACCGGUGCCAGCCGCCGCGGUAAUACCGGCGGCUCGAGUGGUGACCACUUUUAUUGGGCUUAAAGCGUUCGUAGCUUGAUUUUUAAGUCUCUUGGGAAAUCUCACGGCUUAACUGUGAGGCGUCUAAGAGAUACUGGGAAUCUAGGGACCGGGAGAGGUAAGAGGUACUUCAGGGGUAGAAGUGAAAUUCUGUAAUCCUUGAGGGACCACCGAUGGCGAAGGCAUCUUACCAGAACGGCUUCGACAGUGAGGAACGAAAGCUGGGGGAGCGAACGGGAUUAGAUACCCCGGUAGUCCCAGCCGUAAACUAUGCGCGUUAGGUGUGCCUGUAACUACGAGUUACCGGGGUGCCGAAGUGAAAACGUGAAACGUGCCGCCUGGGAAGUACGGUCGCAAGGCUGAAACUUAAAGGAAUUGGCGGGGGAGCACCACAACGGGUGGAGCCUGCGGUUUAAUUGG